Molecule: long non-coding RNA, 728 nt
Organism: Oryctolagus cuniculus (rabbit)
Lineage: Eukaryota; Metazoa; Chordata; Mammalia; Lagomorpha; Leporidae
Source: RefSeq, a predicted model, not a curated record
AGGAGGCAAGACAGCAGGCCACGGGAGGCUGGGGCCGAUCGCUCUAGGGCCCUGUCCUGGCCCUGCCUGGGCAGCUGGCAGGAGCUGUUUGUGAUUUCCACAACAGCCCUGUGGAUGAGGUCAGCCCAGCACGUCUGCGGUGGCCACACAGUCCACCACCACCACCCUGCUCCGGUUGUAAGCUCUGGGAAUACAGAAGCCUGUCGCAGGCUCCCCACAGCGCCUCUAGCUCACCAGGCAGGCUGCUGCACAGGGGCGCCCCCACCCCCACCCCGCAAGCUCACAGGUCCCUCCUCUCUGCGAUGCUGCCCAGGCCCUGACCUCUCUCUAAGCCGCCAAGGCACAGUGCCUGCAGGGACACAGACGGAGCACCAGCCUGCUGUGAGACGACAAGGCAGAGGCCUGCGGUCCGCAGGCCCACCACAGCUGCCAGAAACGACGUGAUGGUGUCGCUCCACCCCUGCCCGAGCAGAAGUGAAACGCGAACCCAGCAGCCCAGGAAAGAAGAGAAGGAACUAGCUGAGAGCCGGCGCUGUGGUGUAGAGAGUAAAGCCACCCCCUGCAACACUGGCAUCCCAUGUGGGCACUGGUUCACAUCCCAGCUGCUCCUCUUCUGACCCAGCUCUCUGCUGUGGCCUGGGAAAGCAGUGGAAGAUGCCCAAGUGCUUAGGACCCUGUACCCACGUGGGAGACCCGGAUGAAGCUCCUGGUGGAUGGAAGAUCUCUCU